GGACUACCGGGGUAUCUAAUCCCGUUUGCUCCCCUGGCUUUCGCGCCUCAGCGUCAGAAGAGGUCCAGCCGUUCGCUUUCGCCACCGGCGUUCCUUCCGAUAUCAACGCAUUUCACCGCUCCACCGGAAGUUCCAACGGCCCCUACCUCGCUCGAGACACGCAGUAUCAAAGGCUGUUUUCCGGUUAAGCCGAAAGAUUUCACCCCUGACUUGCGUAUCCGCCUACGCGCCCUUUAAGCCCAGUGAUUCCGAACAACGUUCGCACGGUUCGUCUUACCGCGGCUGCUGGCAC
Molecule: ribosomal RNA, 292 nt
Filed under: uncultured bacterium
Lineage: Bacteria
Also listed under: 2 other names
Description: partial 16S ribosomal RNA
Source: RNAcentral